CUGGUCUUUCCUCCGAGGAGUUCCAUGAUGCAUUUCUGCAUGAGGUGUUCAGCCACGUCUGAAUCGACCGCUGCCAGAGGAUCAUCGAGCAGGAGGCAGUCAGCUGUUAGAACCUCAAGUCAGAACCAAACAGGAUGAAACUGCUUUUAGACUAACUUAUUUUUAGGUAAAACGUCUCUGAGCUCGAAGCAGAUGGCCGUUCCUGCGGAGGACUGACCAUGUAAACA
Thunnus maccoyii (southern bluefin tuna) is the source of this 227-nucleotide long non-coding RNA. RefSeq lists it as uncharacterized. Lineage: Eukaryota; Metazoa; Chordata; Actinopteri; Scombriformes; Scombridae. The record is from RefSeq and is a predicted model, not a curated record. The transcript has 3 exons.